This 1186-nucleotide ribosomal RNA is filed under the name Micrococcus luteus. Its description in RNAcentral is "bacterial SSU rRNA". It matches the Rfam family "Bacterial small subunit ribosomal RNA", at positions 1 to 1204 of the family's 1533-position model. Lineage: Bacteria; Bacillati; Actinomycetota; Actinomycetes; Micrococcales; Micrococcaceae. The record is from RNAcentral.
UAGAGUUUGAUCCUGGCUCAGGAUGAACGCUGGCGGCGUGCUUAACACAUGCAAGUCGAACGAUGAAGCCCAGCUUGCUGGGUGGAUUAGUGGCGAACGGGUGAGUAACACGUGAGUAACCUGCCCUUAACUCUGGGAUAAGCCUGGGAAACUGGGUCUAAUACCGGAUAGGAGCGCCUACCGCAUGGUGGGUGUUGGAAAGAUUUAUCGGUUUUGGAUGGACUCGCGGCCUAUCAGCUUGUUGGUGAGGUAAUGGCUCACCAAGGCGACGACGGGUAGCCGGCCUGAGAGGGUGACCGGCCACACUGGGACUGAGACACGGCCCAGACUCCUACGGGAGGCAGCAGUGGGGAAUAUUGCACAAUGGGCGCAAGCCUGAUGCAGCGACGCCGCGUGAGGGAUGACGGCCUUCGGGUUGUAAACCUCUUUCAGUAGGGAAGAAGCGAAAGUGACGGUACCUGCAGAAGAAGCACCGGCUAACUACGUGCCAGCAGCCGCGGUAAUACGUAGGGUGCGAGCGUUAUCCGGAAUUAUUGGGCGUAAAGAGCUCGUAGGCGGUUUGUCGCGUCUGUCGUGAAAGUCCGGGGCUUAACCCCGGAUCUGCGGUGGGUACGGGCAGACUAGAGUGCAGUAGGGGAGACUGGAAUUCCUGGUGUAGCGGUGGAAUGCGCAGAUAUCAGGAGGAACACCGAUGGCGAAGGCAGGUCUCUGGGCUGUAACUGACGCUGAGGAGCGAAAGCAUGGGGAGCGAACAGGAUUAGAUACCCUGGUAGUCCAUGCCGUAAACGUUGGGCACUAGGUGUGGGGACCAUUCCACGGUUUCCGCGCCGCAGCUAACGCAUUAAGUGCCCCGCCUGGGGAGUACGGCCGCAAGGCUAAAACUCAAAGGAAUUGACGGGGGCCCGCACAAGCGGCGGAGCAUGCGGAUUAAUUCGAUGCAACGCGAAGAACCUUACCAAGGCUUGACAUGUUCUCGAUCGCCGUAGAGAUACGGUUUCCCCUUUGGGGCGGGUUCACAGGUGGUGCAUGGUUGUCGUCAGCUCGUGUCGUGAGAUGUUGGGUUAAGUCCCGCAACGAGCGCAACCCUCGUUCCAUGUUGCCAGCACGUAAUGGUGGGGACUCAUGGGAGACUGCCGGGGUCAACUCGGAGGAAGGUGAGGACGACGUCAAAUCAUCAUGCCCCUUA